GUCCGGACUCUUACUUGGGUCGAACUUCAGGCUCCUCUCAAGUGGAUAACUAACCACCAGACACUCCAGCCGAACUUCAACCGACGGGUCUGCACUCCCUGGCGCGACACAGCAACAGCCACGAUCCUGCUCCACUUCCUGCGACGGAUUCCGCGCGGCUCCAUUAUUCCCUGGCAGACCGCUAUGACGGCCACGAUCCUGCUCCACUUCCUUCGAUGGAUUCCGCGCAGCUCCACUAUUCCCUGGC
This 247-nucleotide long non-coding RNA is filed under the name Elaeis guineensis (African oil palm). RNAcentral's name for it is "long non-coding RNA (EGUI_LNC044150)". Lineage: Eukaryota; Viridiplantae; Streptophyta; Magnoliopsida; Arecales; Arecaceae. The record is from RNAcentral.